CAGGAGGUAGGGAAGGGCGGUGGAACAGUAGGAGAAUUACGGAGCGCCAUUAAGGACAAGUUUGGCCACGUGACUCUCAUGGGAGUUUCCUGGAGCGAACGUAAGGAAGAGGUCUAAGAAGGGAAAGUUUGAUUGGGCUAAUUCUAGAGGUGAGGUUGAAGAUUUAGGGAAUUGGAAACUGGAGAGGCUACGAGAAUAUGGCUGGUGAAAAAGGUAGAAGUUGGUUAGGAAUGGGUCUAGAUUUAAGAGUGGCCUAGAAAGACUGGGAAAGUCCCCGUGGGGGAAUUUCCAGAAGCAGUUUUAGAUGUUCGACAUCAGAACAUCCCAGAGUGAAGAAGAAUCAAGGCUUUUCCCAUACGGAUCGUAGAAAGUACCAUGUUCUAGCAAGCAAAUUUUAAAAAGUACAAUGAAAUGAUCUCCCUGGGCUAUUGAAUGAAAUCACCCGUUUGAAAAAUUGGCCAGUCUUGUCCUUUCUUCCGAAUGCGAAACCAAGUCGACUUUUAAAAAUGGGCAUCAGCUUAUCCACGCGACUUAUUCCCUCUUAAAUUGCUGAAUUUGUGCAUCUGGCUUCCGAUUUUUAUCAAACAGUGCUAGGGGCUGCCAACAUGAUCUGACUGGGUGUUCGUACAGGUCGGUCAGCUUUGGCUGGUCAGAAGCCAAAGGAACAAAGGUGCAAAACUGGUCUUGACUCUUGCUUGACAUGCUGCGCCCCAGCCGAUAUCCAAACCCGCAAAAUGAGCUGCUGCCAACCUUGGAUCCUUGAGGCGAGCGUCAGGUUCCCUUUUAUUCAGCUUUUGCGCGUUUGCCUCUGCUGUUUUACUUCCCGUUUAUUCUUAGCAGAUGGUGGAAUUGAAGCUGGGUGUGGAGGGAAGUUAAAGGAAAUGCUGCGUAUGUGUGAGUGUGGAUGGGGUUAACGGAUUGACAACGGUGGAGGCUGCAAAGAAAACAGUGACAAAAGAACCAACACUUCAGUGAAUUAAAGUGGACUGACUAGGACAUCAGAAGGUGGUUUCUGGAGAGCUUCAGGAGCUGGUGGUAUAGACAGAAGAAAUGAGUCCAAAGGAGCCAAGGCUUUUGAAAGAGUGAAUGAUGCUAAAGGGGAUCAGGGUACAUCAAAAUACACCACUUCGUCAUGAGGAUUAUUUUGAGCUGAAGACAAUUGAGAAUCAACAGAUACAGGAAGAGUCCUCUAGAACUUCCCUUAUCUGCCUAAAAGCAGGGCAUGAAUUUCCGUUUGUGAAGCCAUCCACCCCCAUAUCAAGAAGAGGAGACUGAUCCUAUCACCAGAGAUGGAGAGUCAACACCCAGCUGGGUUUGUAUAAACAGACCUUGCUAGAAGAACCCUUAUCUUCCAUCAGUUCCCCCUUAUAUUUCCUAGUCACUUCCCACGAUUUGUCAUUCCUUGAAACCCAAGCUCCCUUUCCUUUGCUAAAAUGGUAUCUAAGCCCCUGAGUUUUAACUGCUUCUUUGUGUUUCUUUUCUGUGAACUCCUAUGCGUGUAAAUAUUAAUAAAGUUUGUAUACCUUUUCUCC
This 1532-nucleotide long non-coding RNA is filed under the name Equus caballus (horse). RNAcentral describes it as "lncRNA (ENSECAG00000053022.1)". Lineage: Eukaryota; Metazoa; Chordata; Mammalia; Perissodactyla; Equidae. The record is from RNAcentral.